GAGGCCUUAGCUUAAUUGAAAGUGCCUGAGUUGCAAUCAGGGGAUGUAGAGUGUUUACAGGUCUUC
RNAcentral lists this transfer RNA (66 nucleotides) under Cyrtodactylus intermedius. RNAcentral's name for it is "tRNA-Ala". It matches the Rfam family "tRNA". From Rfam's summary of the family: Transfer RNA (tRNA) molecules are approximately 80 nucleotides in length. Their secondary structure includes four short double-helical elements and three loops (D, anti-codon, and T loops). Further hydrogen bonds mediate the characteristic L-shaped molecular structure. tRNAs have two regions of fundamental functional importance: the anti-codon, which is responsible for specific mRNA codon recognition, and the 3' end, to which the tRNAs corresponding amino acid is attached (by aminoacyl-tRNA synthetases). tRNAs cope with the degeneracy of the genetic code in two manners: having more than one tRNA (with a specific anti-codon) for a particular amino acid; and 'wobble' base-pairing, i.e. permitting non-standard base-pairing at the 3rd anti-codon position. Lineage: Eukaryota; Metazoa; Chordata; Lepidosauria; Squamata; Gekkonidae. The record is from RNAcentral.